RNAcentral lists this ribosomal RNA (637 nucleotides) under uncultured bacterium. RNAcentral's name for it is "bacterial SSU rRNA". It matches the Rfam family "Bacterial small subunit ribosomal RNA", at positions 869 to 1504 of the family's 1533-position model. The record is from RNAcentral.
CCGCCUGGGGAGUACGGUCGCAAGAUUAAAACUCAAAGGAAUUGACGGGGACCCGCACAAGCGGUGGAUGAUGUGGAUUAAUUCGAUGCAACGCGAAAAACCUUACCUACCCUUGACAUGUCAGGAAUCCUGUAGAGAUAUGGGAGUGCUCGAAAGAGAACCUGAACACAGGUGCUGCAUGGCUGUCGUCAGCUCGUGUCGUGAGAUGUUGGGUUAAGUCCCGCAACGAGCGCAACCCUUGUCAUUAAUUGCCAUCAUUUAGUUGGGCACUUUAAUGAGACUGCCGGUGACAAACCGGAGGAAGGUGGGGAUGACGUCAAGUCCUCAUGGCCCUUAUGGGUAGGGCUUCACACGUCAUACAAUGGUCGGUACAGAGGGUUGCCAACCCGCGAGGGGGAGCCAAUCCCACAAAGCCGAUCGUAGUCCGGAUCGCAGUCUGCAACUCGACUGCGUGAAGUCGGAAUCGCUAGUAAUCGUGGAUCAGCAUGUCACGGUGAAUACGUUCCCGGGUCUUGUACACACCGCCCGUCACACCAUGGGAGUGGGUUUCACCAGAAGUAGGUAGUCUAACCGCAAGGGGGGCGCUUACCACGGUGGGAUUCAUGACUGGGGUGAAGUCGUAAUCAAGGUAACCGUA